CCCCCAAAUCCCUAGCCCGCAGCGGCGAUGCACCUCCCCCUCACCUGCGUUGGCGACUCAGCCGCGUCGCUGCCCUUCUUCCCAAGCUUCGCCUCCUCGCAUUCUCGUCCGCGUCGCCUCCUCGCAUUCUCGUCCGCGUCGCCUCUUCCUCUCGCCCGCAUCCUCUGCAUCACGGUCGAGCCAAAGUUGGUUGUUUUAGCGAGGUCGAGUUGGAGCCUGACGAGCGCGGGCACGGCGGCCUUGUUCUGCUCGACGACGGCGGCGACGGACGCUGGCACUCCUCGUCGCCAUCGACCUGCAAGGAGGAGCGUCGUGUUGGACGCUGCCAUCCCAAACGCUGCUGGUGCUCCAUCGCUUCUACGAGUUCCUCGUCACCUGCUCCUAGGUCGCCCCCGAAGUCGAGCUCCCCACGCUCGACCUGCAAGAUGUACUGUGGCCAAGAACUGCUCUCUGCCGCGUGAGUAGAUUGGAAAGGCAAGGCGCAAGGAGCGAUUGGAAAGGCUGCUGCUGCUCCUGGACGAUGCAACUCCUGAUGCCACUACCUCUUGUCGAUUCGGGCAUGAGCACAUUCUUGGAGUGGAUCUGCAUUUCAAAUAGUUUACAAGUGGGAGUACAUGGAGUACUACAGAUUAAAUCGAGGAGAAGAUGGUCCCUGCUCCGUGAUGAUGCCGCUGUUACCUACGACUUCCCCAACCACCACCACCACGACUUCGUCGAACAUGACUGGGUGUCUG
This is a non-coding RNA of Triticum urartu, 734 nucleotides long. Lineage: Eukaryota; Viridiplantae; Streptophyta; Magnoliopsida; Poales; Poaceae. The record is from RefSeq and is a predicted model, not a curated record.